GAUGAACGCUAGCGGCAGGCUUAAUACAUGCAAGUCGUGGGGCAGCAGGUUUGUAGCAAUACAGAUGCUGGCGACCGGCAAACGGGUGCGGAACACGUACAGAACCUUCCUUGAGCGGGGAAUAGCCCAGAGAAAUUUGGAUUAAUACCCCAUAGUAUAAUGAAGUGGCAUCACUUUAUUAUUAAAGAUUUAUCACUCGAAGAUGGCUGUGCGGCUGAUUAGGUAGUUGGCGGGGUAAAGGCCCACCAAGCCUGCGAUCAGUAACUGGUGUGAGAGCACGACCAGUCACACGGGCACUGAGACACGGGCCCGACUCCUACGGGAGGCAGCAGUAAGGAAUAUUGGUCAAUGGAGGCAAACUCUGAACCAGCCAUGCCGCGUGGAGGAUGAAGGUCCUCUGGAUUGUAAACUUCUUUUAUAUGGGACGAAAAAAAGGCUUUUCUAAGUCGUCUGACGGUACCAUAUGAAUAAGCACCGGCUAACUCCGUGCCAGCAGCCGCGGUAA
Molecule: ribosomal RNA, 505 nt
Filed under: uncultured bacterium
Lineage: Bacteria
Description: bacterial SSU rRNA
Rfam family: Bacterial small subunit ribosomal RNA
Source: RNAcentral